UAGGGAAUCUUCGGCAAUGGACGAAAGUCUGACCGAGCAACGCCGCGUGAGUGAAGAAGGUUUUCGGAUCGUAAAACUCUGUUGUUAGAGAAGAACAAGGACGUUAGUAACUGAACGUCCCCUGACGGUAUCUAACCAGAAAGCCACGGCUAACUACGUGCCAGCAGCCGCGGUAAUACGUAGGUGGCAAGCGUUGUCCGGAUUUAUUGGGCGUAAAGCGAGCGCAGGCGGUUUCUUAAGUCUGAUGUGAAAGCCCCCGGCUCAACCGGGGAGGGUCAUUGGAAACUGGGAGACUUGAGUGCAGAAGAGGAGGGUGGAAUUCCAUGUGUAGCGGUGAAAUGCGUAGAUAUAUGGAGGAACACCAGUGGCGAAGGCGGCUCUCUGGUCUGUAACUGACGCUGAGGCUCGAAAGCGUGGGGAGAAAACAGG
Molecule: ribosomal RNA, 429 nt
Filed under: Gemmatimonadota bacterium
Lineage: Bacteria; Pseudomonadati; Gemmatimonadota
Description: Gemmatimonadetes bacterium partial 16S ribosomal RNA
Rfam family: Bacterial small subunit ribosomal RNA
Source: RNAcentral